Molecule: long non-coding RNA, 6473 nt
Organism: Canis lupus familiaris (dog)
Lineage: Eukaryota; Metazoa; Chordata; Mammalia; Carnivora; Canidae
Exons: 3
Source: RefSeq, a predicted model, not a curated record
GAAGAUGAGGUAUAUGGAAACAAAGAAAGAUGCAGACAUAGAAAAAUGUGUUUUUAAUACAAAUUUAAUCUUACUAUACUUUGCAACUUUUUUUAUUGACAAUAUGUUAGGGACAGCAAUCCAUACAGUAUUCAUAUACAGGGCUAUCUCAUAGCUGGGUUAAUAUUUCAUUGUAUGUCUACUUACCAUAAUUUAUUCAUUCAUAGCCCUAUUGAUAGAUUUUUAUGUUGUUUCCAAUUUUUAUCCCCUACAAACAAUGUUUCAAUGAACACUCUUAAACAUGUGAAAUAUAUCCCUUUAGGAUACAUACACCACAUUUCAUUUCCCAAGUGGAAAGAUUAUAUCCUUUUAACAGUUUGAUAGAAACUGCCAAAAUGCCCUCCAGUAUAUCAUAUCUACAUAUUGACACUGUUACCAACAACAGAAUUUCCUUUGUUCCUCUACUCGCAAACACAUGAUGUUAUGAAUAUUUUAAAUAUUUGCCAAUAUGCUUAGGCAAAAACAUAACUUGUCAUUGAUUUGUCUUUCCUUAAUCAAUAGUUAAGUUUGGUUCAUUUUCAUAACUUUAUUAUCAGCUUAUUCUUUUUUCUGGUAGUAAUUGCUUUAGUGUUCAUCUUGUUUGAGUAAUUCUAACGCCAGGGGUGUCACUAUGAACUCAGGAGUGCUUUUAAAUGAAUUUGCAUUUAAUUCAUCGCAAGACUAGCUAUAUGCUUUUUUGAAAAUAAUACAUAUAUGGUUGAAGAUGAUUUAGCCAAUUUAUAGAUAAUGCCCCAUGCAUUGAUGGAUACUGUUUUAGAACAAAGAUUGGACAUAAUAUGUAAUCAUUUUGUACAUAUAAAUCCAAUCUUAAACCACACUUAUAGGGGCAAAGUACUGAAGAAUCCUGAAAUGACAUCUGAGUCAUCAAAAAUCAAUAUUUUUCAUUGACAUUUUAGUGCUGAAUGUUUAGGACAGUUUUAGUACUUCAAUUUUUUAAAUAUUGAUUGUCCAUGUACAGUGUGCAUAAAUGAGAGUGACUACUUAGCAAAGUAGAGGUCAGGAAAACAGACUCUGUGAGAUUUGCUCAGAGGCUUAGGCUCAAAGUCUCAAAGAAAUCAGCCUUUAAAUUGAGAAAUAGUUACACCCAGGAGAGGUCUUCUGCUGCAAAUAAAGAGGAUAGGGGUAGCUCCUGCUAGAAAAAUACCUUGGACCAAUAAAAAAUAGUAAUAUUAAUGAUUAUUAGAACAAAUGCUUAUAGGAGCACCUGGGUGGUUCUGUCAGUUAAGCAUCUGACUCUUGAUUUCAGCUCAGGUCAUGGAUCUUAAGGGCUUAAGGUUUGACUGCAUUGGAGUCUGCCUGUCUGUCUCCCUCUGCUCCUCUCCCCACUUGCACACGCGCUUUCUCUCUGUCAAAUAAAUAAGUAAUGAUAAAAUCUUUUUUUAAAAAAAAAAGGGAAGAAAAAAGAAACAGAACACUUGUAUACCUAAGUGCUUUACAGACAUUAUCUCGCUUAAAGCAAUAAAUAAUGUGAGAAGUAAGUACUCUGAUUACACCAUCUUAUAGACAAGAAAACCAAGGCACAAAAAAGUUAAGUAAAACAUUGAAUGAUUGGAUGAACUGCCUGUAGAGACUGACCACUUCUCUCCACAAUAGGAAACUGCCUCCAUUGCCAAUAACAUUGAGUUCUAACAGAACACUCUGUGCAGUUCAUGAUACUCCGUGAAAGGAUUGGACCCCAGUAAUGAUGCGUCUGACACAUGGAUUUGGGAAACUGAGAUACAGAAAUCUAACAUCCUCAGUGUCAACCAGAUAAGUAAAUGAACUUGCUUGUACCAGGCUACAUCCUAAGACUCGUUUCUUUGGUAUGGUGCUAUAAAAACUCCUCUGUGAAAAUCUGAAGUUGAAUGCUUAAAGAUAGAACAAAGAUCAUGUUAUAUUUCUCUUACUCAAGAAGUAUUGACUGACUACCCUCUUUUUCUAUGAAGCAGGUAUGUUGGAGAAUAAAAAGAAGUGACUUCUGUUUUCAGGAAGGUAUGAGGAUCUAAGGCAUUGAAGCUGCAUACACACUAGGAAAUAACUUGAUUAAGAAGUGGAGAAUAAUUAGUAUACAAUUGCUAGUUAUGAUUUUGUCAAUUAAAACCAUUUUAAUGUAAUCCCAUGUAUAUCAUCCUUACCAUAUUCUCCAUCUCAUCCCCAGGCCCUCUGCUUCAUACUGUGUUUAAUCCUUGCAAAACCCUAUAGUAUAGAUGUAAUACUCUCCUUCCUUUUUAUAGAUGGGGAAACUGAGGAUCUAAAAGGCUAGGGAACUUUCCUGCAGCCAUACUAUCAGAAAGUGGCAGAGCAGGGCUUUGAACUCAUUACUAUGAGGAUCCAAAGCCUAUUUUGUUAAUCAUUCUGCUGUACUACCUCAUUCUUUAUAAUGUGUCCUUCACAUUGCUUGCAUGGUUUUGAGUGUCCAUUUACUAUAUUAUUUUAAUUAUACAAUUACAUGUAUUCGUUGGAGGAAAUUUUAAAAUAUAGAGUUGCUAAAUAAAUAAAUAAAUAAAUUUUAAAUUGGCAGUUGUUGUAGCCUUGUUGACCCAUUGCCAAGAGUAAUCACAAAACAUAAUCAACUACCAAGCCUGUCUACCCAAGGGAGAGAGGGACAGCCCAGUGUGAAUUUCUUUACAGGGUCAGUUCACAUGAGCACAACGGAAUGUCAGCCUCUCAAGGGAUAUACUGAGUACAAAGGAUUCGAGACUGAUUUGCUCACUCUCAGAGGAGAGAAUUAAAGACCCACAAGUUUGAAUAACUUGCAGUGAUAAUUCUCAAGAAGGUAAAAUUAUUCCUCACAGAGAAAAGGCAGCAGAGCAUUCAGAAACUCAUCUAUGCACAUAUAGGUUAUAUUUCAUUUUAUGAUAUUCCUAAAUCCAUUUGUUCAUAAAUUCAGUGACAGUCUAUAGGCAGCCACUACUGCCAUCUGUUGGUGGUCAGCAGAGUUGAUGCAUUUCUACACAGGCGCAUAAAAUGGUUCUUAUCUAAGUCUGUAAGUUGAAUCAUCAUAACAGGAACUUCUGUAUUCGUGAAAAAAAAAAAAGCAUGUGGAAUCAGAUAGACUUGGGUUCACAUCUUGGCUGCGCCUCAUGUGAGAAGUGUGACCACUUUCAUUCUGGGUUUUCCAUUUGUUCGAUGGGGAUAAUAUCAAGUUCAUAUGAAUGUUUUAAGAAUUAUGCAAUGAAUGUAUAUUAGUUUGGAUAGAUGCUAGCCAAAAUAUCAGUGACUUAACACAGUCUCUUGUUAACAUCAUAGUGUCUUGCUCAUAAAACAGUUCAAAGUGGAUGCUUCAAAUCACCAGGCAGCUCUCUUCCAAAAGGUGAUUCUGGACCAAGCAUUUUUUAUCUUAUGACUCUAUCAUCUACAACUCUGGCCUCCAGGGUCACCCUAGAACCCAACAUCAACCAUCAGAGCAAGAGAAGAGGGCAUGGGGGUGUGCAAGGAGGUUUUUAUGAGCCAGACCUGGAACUACAUACAUUACUUCUAUACUUCUUCCAUUUGCCCCAAGUCAGUCUCAUAACUGCAUCUUGCAAGCUGUUUUGUAAAACUGAGAAACAUGGCCCAGAAGUCUCUCUGUCACAGCCAUAAUUUUAAGUAAUAAAAACAUAAGCAUCACUCAAAUGCAGUCGUAAAUUUUUCUUUAUGUAUUAUGUAAUGUUAUUUAUAUUUUUCUCAGUCAUUAAUAUGAUGUAGAUAUUAAAGUAAAAGGCAAUGUGAUAUAAUGAAAAGAGUGGUGAUCUUGGAGAUGUAACCUAAUUCUGUGUGAUCUUGAACAUACUGUACUCAGUAAAUCUGAACUGCAGUCCUUAUCUGGAGACUGGUGGGGUGAGGCCAACAAUGUAUUGUGUCUUCUGUUCAACCCCUAUAUCCCUAGCUCUAAAAGUUUACACUUUUUGCACAAAAGUAAUACAAAACAAAACUCUCAGUGGCUCCCAGAGCAAACAAGUGAUAGAACACAAGUCUUGGAUGGGAUUAGAGGGAAAGGUUUCUAGAAGACAAGCAGCUUUAAGCCCAUUUUUGAGAGGAGAUAGUUCCAAAUAGAGGGAAUAAAGUAUGGAAUGCCAUGCAAGAAAGGCAUAAAGAAGAUCAUAAACAAGAGUCUGGGGGAAGGGGAAUGGUAAGAAUAGCCUGGCUGAAAAGCAAUAUGUUAGAGUGAGGUUGGGGAUGAAUUUAAGAAGUAGUUUGAUAGGUAGAAAGAAAAGACAUUAAUGUUAAGCUUCCAGACUUAGGCGGCCAUAUUAAAUCCAAAAAGAUCCCAGAAGAAAGCCAGUUAUGGUUUCUGUAUGGGCAACUGACAUCAUGAAAAUCCGUUAGUCAUUAUGAAAAGAAAUGUGAUUAGAUCAUAGCACCUGACACGACAGUACCUUCUAUUAAAUUGUUGGAUGUCCAAAAUCUAAAUACUCCAUAAAUAUUCUUCCAAAUAUGCUGGUUAUCUGAAUUCUAUACACAUUUCAAGGAAGAAGAGUUUUAUGUGGUAAUGGAGAAAAGCUGAAGAUGUGGGAAGACUCAAAUAGUUCACAUUGAAAGAGAGCCCUCAUUUCUUGGCUUUAUUUUGUUUUAUUUUUUUUUAAUCAAGGAUAAAAAUGUAGGUAAGACAUGAGUCAGAGCAAACUCAGAAAGUACCUAGAAGCCUUCAGCAUUUGAAGCCUGCUGGCUAGUUUCAUGUGGGUGAAGUUCGGUUUUCAGAAAGACAAAUUGAAAAUAGAACUUGUUUGUUUAGAUUUUGCCAUUCUCUAGGGGACGUGCAAGAAUGUUCAAUGAACUGGGAGGGGGGAAGAAUUUCUUCUUGGGAACUGCCCCAGAGGGCCUUGGUUAGAGAGAAUAUUGCCCUAGAGCAGACCCUGAGCAUGUUGCAGUUUUUCUCUGGACCAAGUCUGAGGAGACAUGGUCUUAGCCAAGGUAAGUGCAAGCAGAAGUUCAGCACAGUCCUCCAAGCAGGUUUCCAGUAAAGGCCUCUGUCACACUCUCAGGAAACACGAGAUGAUUGAAACAUUCCUCGGGAAAGCUAUCGAUGACAACUUUGACUUUUCUUCAGCUCUUGGGAAGCACUAUUUUUGUUUUUAUUUUGAAGAAAAAGGUUAUUUUUGAUGGGUAACUUAUUCACUGCAUAUUAACUUUUUUACAUAAAUAAAAGAUUCUACUAUUAAUAACCACGUGACUGUGGCAAGUCACAAGCUUUUCUGGGCUUCAGGCUUUGGUUUUCUUCUCUGUAAAAUAUAGAGACUAGAUUAUAUAAUCUCCGAGGCCUCUUCCUGAUCUGAAAUGAUAAGUUCUAAUUCAAACAACUUCCUCUUUCUGGUGAAGUAACAUGAAGCCUGAGGUUACUUUAUCACAUUCUUCUAAAUCUCUAUCACUCUUAAAACGUAUAGGAAAAAAACGGACAGCCCAUUGAGCAUGUACCGCGGGAAGAAUCCUCUGUUCAGCGCAACAGCAUGUUGGUUGGGAGCACUGAGCUCAGAGCUACUUUCCUCCCACCCCCAGGACAAGGGGGAGUUCACAUCUUUUUGCUUCUUAGAAACACCAGUGUUUUUAUUGUGGCUGUACAAUAUGUUCUCUGGCUGCACUUUCCAGUUUGGCAAUAGUUUAUUUACUAUCUUAUUCUUUAUUUCAUCUCCAUGUUUUUAGAUGGGUUCUACUUCUUUCUCAGGAGCUAAUUCCCUCUCAAUAAAGACCAUAUAUUAAAUAGAGCAAUUUUAUGUACGGUGUCCAGGACAGAGUAUGUGAUGAUAAUGUGAUAGGCCACGAUGAUGAGACCCAAAAAAAUAUCAAGAUUUCAGAGCCAGUAGCCAUUAGCCAUCUGUGGCUUUUACAUUGAAAUUAGCUAGAAUUAAAUUAAAUUAAAAAUUCAGUUCCUCUGCCCUACUAGCCACAUUUCAAGUACUCAGCAGUCACAUGUGGCUAGUGACUACCAGUUUGGACAGCAGAGAGAUACCACAUUUUUAUCACUGCAGAAAAAGUUCAGUCGGAUAGUGUUGCCUUAGAGAUCAACUAGUCACAGAAUCAUAUUCUUAAGGAAUGUCAGGGAACUCAGAAACCACUUAAAACAUUCUUCUAUCCCGUCCUGGCAGCUCAAAUCUCUCCAGUACCAGAAAAUUUAUCACCUUUACAAAGUGGUUCAUUUCAUUUUUUGAAAACUUUAUAUUAGAAAGUUCUUCCUUAAACUGGGUCAAACUCCAUAUCCCUUUAACUUCUACUCUCCCUCUAAACACAGGAUAAGUGAAUGGUUCUUCCACCUGGAACUUCAUCAGAGCAUCAGUGCCUCUAUUGUAUCGACUUAGACUCCUCUUUUCCAGUUAGCCCAUGCCACAAAUGAGGCAGCUGAAGUAUGGAGCAGUCCUGCCUCACGACUCCAUGGCAAAGCUGGGGCUGAAUCCAGGUUUCCAGUUGGUGUGUUCCAGUCAAACCUUACUGCUUCCAAGUCUAGCAACUAUGUCAUUAAAGAAUGUAUGUAUACAAAUUCA